GGAGGUUGAUCCUGGCUCAGGACGAACGCUGGCGGCGCGCUUCAUACAUGCAAGUCGAACGUGAAGCCCGGAGCUUGCUCUGGGUGGAAAGUGGCGAACGGGUGAGGAACACGUGAGGAACCUGCCCCGAAGACCGGGAUAACACCGGGAAACCGGUGCUAAUACCGGAUGCCCUCAUCGGAGCUCAUGCUCCGAUGAGGAAAUGGAUUCCGCUUCGGGAUGGCCUCGCGGCCUAUCAGCUUGUUGGUGGGGUAACGGCCCACCAAGGCUUCGACGGGUAGCUGGUCUGAGAGGAUGUCCAGCCACACUGGGACUGAGACACGGCCCAGACUCCUACGGGAGGCAGCAGUAGGGAAUCUUGCGCAAUGAGCGAAAGCUUGACGCAGCGACGCCGCGUGCGGGAUGAGGGCCCUCGGGUCGUAAACCGCUUUCAGCAGGGACGAAACUGACGGUACCUGCAGAAA
This 464-nucleotide ribosomal RNA is filed under the name uncultured bacterium. RNAcentral's name for it is "bacterial SSU rRNA". It matches the Rfam family "Bacterial small subunit ribosomal RNA", at positions 9 to 487 of the family's 1533-position model. The record is from RNAcentral.